Etheostoma spectabile (orangethroat darter) is the source of this 92-nucleotide long non-coding RNA. RefSeq lists it as uncharacterized. The record is from RefSeq and is a predicted model, not a curated record. The transcript has 2 exons. Lineage: Eukaryota; Metazoa; Chordata; Actinopteri; Perciformes; Percidae.
CAUUCACACAGCAGAUUGAGGAGCUGAAAAGACAGAUUGAAGAGGAGGUUAAGGCCAAGAAUGCUCUUGCCCAUGGACUGCAAUCAGCCCGC